This 492-nucleotide ribosomal RNA is filed under the name uncultured bacterium. Its description in RNAcentral is "partial 16S ribosomal RNA". It matches the Rfam family "Bacterial small subunit ribosomal RNA", at positions 29 to 507 of the family's 1533-position model. The record is from RNAcentral.
AGUGAACGCUGGCGGUAGGCCUAACACAUGCAAGUCGAACGGCAGCACAGUAAGAGCUUGCUCUUACGGGUGGCGAGUGGCGGACGGGUGAGGAAUACAUCGGAAUCUACUUUUUCGUGGGGGAUAACGUAGGGAAACUUACGCUAAUACCGCAUACGACCUACGGGUGAAAGCAGGGGAUCUUCGGACCUUGCGCGAUUGAAUGAGCCGAUGUCGGAUUAGCUAGUUGGCGGGGUAAAGGCCCACCAAGGCGACGAUCCGUAGCUGGUCUGAGAGGAUGAUCAGCCACACUGGAACUGAGACACGGUCCAGACUCCUACGGGAGGCAGCAGUGGGGAAUAUUGGACAAUAGGCGGAAGCCUGAUCCAGCCAUACCGCGUGGGUGAAGAAGGCCUUCGGGUUGUAAAGCCCUUUUGUUGGGAAAGAAAAGCAGCAGGUUAAUACCCCGCUGUUCUGACGGUACCCAAAGAAUAAGCACCGGCUAACUUCGUG